RNAcentral lists this ribosomal RNA (355 nucleotides) under uncultured Synergistaceae bacterium. RNAcentral's name for it is "bacterial SSU rRNA". It matches the Rfam family "Bacterial small subunit ribosomal RNA", at positions 1027 to 1382 of the family's 1533-position model. Lineage: Bacteria; Thermotogati; Synergistota; Synergistia; Synergistales; Synergistaceae. The record is from RNAcentral.
AGCGUACACAGGUGCUGCAUGGCUGUCGUCAGCUCCGUGUCGUGAGAUGUUGGGUUAAGUCCCGCAACGAGCGCAACCCUGCUGCCAGUUGCAACGGGUGAAGCCGGGCACUCUGGCGGGACUGCCAUCGACAAGAUGGAGGAAGUGGGGAUGACGUCAAGUCAUCAUGGCCCUUAUGUCCAGGGCGACACACGUGCUACAAUGGCCGGCACAGCGGGAAGCGAGGCAGUGAUGCCAAGCGGAUCCCUUAAAGCCGGUCUCAGUUCGGAUUGAAGUCUGCAACUCGACUUCAUGAAGCUGGAAUCGCUAGUAAUCGCAGAUCAGCCAAGCUGCGGUGAAUACGUUCCCGGGCCUU